RNAcentral lists this ribosomal RNA (197 nucleotides) under uncultured bacterium. RNAcentral's name for it is "partial 16S ribosomal RNA". It matches the Rfam family "Bacterial small subunit ribosomal RNA", at positions 328 to 539 of the family's 1533-position model. The record is from RNAcentral.
ACGCUCGACACCUACGGGAGCAGCAGUGGGGAAUAUUGCACAAUGGGGGAAACCCUGAUGCAGCGACGCCGCGUGAGUGAAGAAGUAUUUCGGUAUGUAAAGCUCUAUCAGCAGGGAAGAGAAUGACGGUACCUGACUAAGAAGCCCCGGCUAACUACGUGCCAGCAGCCGCGGUAAUCUGAGCGGGCUGGCAAGGC